RNAcentral lists this ribosomal RNA (253 nucleotides) under uncultured bacterium. RNAcentral's name for it is "partial 16S ribosomal RNA". It matches the Rfam family "Bacterial small subunit ribosomal RNA", at positions 524 to 776 of the family's 1533-position model. The record is from RNAcentral.
UACGUAGGGACCGAGCGUUGUCCGGAAUCAUUGGGCGUAAAGAGCGUGUAGGCGGCUUGUUAAGUCUUGCGUGAAAUCUCGGGGCUCAACCCCGAGCGGUCGUGAGAAACUGGCAGGCUAGAGUGCGGGAGAGGAGAGUGGAAUUCCUGGUGUAGCGGUGAAAUGCGCAGAUAUCAGGAAGAACACCCGUGGCGAAGGCGGCUCUCUGGGCCGAUACUGACGCUGAGGAGCGAAAGCGUGGGGAGCGAACGGG